Molecule: ribosomal RNA, 351 nt
Filed under: uncultured Anaerolineaceae bacterium
Lineage: Bacteria; Bacillati; Chloroflexota; Anaerolineae; Anaerolineales; Anaerolineaceae
Description: bacterial SSU rRNA
Rfam family: Bacterial small subunit ribosomal RNA
Source: RNAcentral
CCCUUCGGGGAGCCUAUACAGGUGUUGCAUGGCUGUCGUCAGCUCGUGUCGUGAGAUGUUCGGUUAAGUCCGCUAACGAGCGCAACCCUCGUCGUAUGUUAUAUGUGUCAUACGAGACUGCCGGUAAAAAGCCGGAGGAAGGUGAGGAUGAUGUCAAGUCAGCAUGACCUUUAUAUCCAGGGCUACACACACGCUACAAUGGUCUGUACAAUGGGUAGCCAAGCCGCGAGGCGGAGCCAAUCCUGAAAGCAGGCCUCAGUUCAGAUUGCAGUCUGCAACUCGACUGCAUGAAGCCGGAGUUGCUAGUAACCGCAGGUCAGCCAUACUGCGUUGAAUACGUUCCCGGGGCUU